UGGGGAAUAUUGCGCAAUGGGCGAAAGCCUGACGCAGCAACACCGCGUGAGGGAUGACGGCCUUCGGGUUGUAAACCUCUUUCAGCUCCGACGAAGCGAAAGUGACGGUAGGAGCAGAAGAAGCACCGGCUAACUACGUGCCAGCAGCCGCGGUAAUACGUAGGGUGCAAGCGUUGUCCGGAAUUAUUGGGCGUAAAGAGCUCGUAGGCGGUCCGUUGCGUCUGCCGUGAAAACCCGGAGCUCAACUCCGGGCCUGCGGUGGAUACGGGCGGACUAGAGUCCGGUAGGGGAGACUGGAAUUCCUGGUGUAGCGGUGGAAUGCGCAGAUAUCAGGAGGAACACCGGUGGCGAAGGCGGGUCUCUGGGCCGGAACUGACGCUGAGGAGCGAAAGCGUGGGGAGCGAACAGGAUUAGAUACCC
RNAcentral lists this ribosomal RNA (420 nucleotides) under uncultured bacterium. RNAcentral's name for it is "bacterial SSU rRNA". It matches the Rfam family "Bacterial small subunit ribosomal RNA", at positions 355 to 787 of the family's 1533-position model. The record is from RNAcentral.